RNAcentral lists this ribosomal RNA (497 nucleotides) under uncultured bacterium. RNAcentral's name for it is "partial 16S ribosomal RNA". It matches the Rfam family "Bacterial small subunit ribosomal RNA", at positions 28 to 507 of the family's 1533-position model. The record is from RNAcentral.
GAUGAACGCUGGCGGCGUGCCUAAUACAUGCAAGUCGAGCGAACAGACGAGGAGCUUGCUCCUCUGACGUUAGCGGCGGACGGGUGAGUAACACGUGGAUAACCUACCUAUAAGACUGGGAUAACUUCGGGAAACCGGAGCUAAUACCGGAUAAUAUAUUGAACCGCAUGGUUCAAUAGUGAAAGACGGUAUUGCUGUCACUUAUAGAUGGAUCCGCGCCGCAUUAGCUAGUUGGUAAGGUAACGGCUUACCAAGGCAACGAUGCGUAGCCGACCUGAGAGGGUGUACGGCCACACUGGAACUGAGACACGGUCCAGACUCCUACGGGAGGCAGCAGUAGGGAAUCUUCCGCAAUGGGCGAAAGCUUGACGGAGCAACGCCGCGUGAGUGAUGAAGGUCUUCGGAUCGUAAAACUCUGUUAUUAUGGAAGAACAAAUGUGUAAGUAACUAUGCACGUCUUGACGGUACCUAAUCAGAAAGCCACGGCUAACUACGUG